RNAcentral lists this microRNA (22 nucleotides) under Oreochromis niloticus (Nile tilapia). RNAcentral describes it as "oni-miR-10579". Lineage: Eukaryota; Metazoa; Chordata; Actinopteri; Cichliformes; Cichlidae. The record is from miRBase by way of RNAcentral.
AUGUGGAAAAACAACGGACUGA